Molecule: ribosomal RNA, 386 nt
Filed under: uncultured delta proteobacterium
Lineage: Bacteria; Deltaproteobacteria
Description: bacterial SSU rRNA
Rfam family: Bacterial small subunit ribosomal RNA
Source: RNAcentral
AAUGGGCGAAAGCCUGAUCCAGCCACGCCGCGUGUGUGAUGAAGGCCCUCGGGUUGUAAAGCACUGUCGGGAGGGACGAAGCUGACGGUACCUCGCAAGAAAGCACCGGCUAACUUCGUGCCAGCAGCCGCGGUAAUACGAAGGGUGCAAGCGUUGCUCGGAAUUACUGGGCGUAAAGCGACCGCAGGCGGUCCAGUAGGUCGGAUGUGAAAGCCCGGGGCUCAACCCCGGAACUGCAUUCGAAACCCCUGGACUUGAGUACUGGAGAGGAGGGCGGAAUUCCUGGUGUAGAGGUGAAAUUCGUAGAUAUCAGGAGGAACGCUCGCGGCGAAGGCGGCUCUCUGGCCAGAUACUGACGCUCAUGGUCGAAAGCAUGGGUAGCGAAC